Molecule: ribosomal RNA, 446 nt
Filed under: uncultured bacterium
Lineage: Bacteria
Description: bacterial SSU rRNA
Rfam family: Bacterial small subunit ribosomal RNA
Source: RNAcentral
UUCCAGACUCCUACGGGAGGCAGCAGUGGGGAAUAUUGCACAAUGGGGGAAACCCUGAUGCAGCGACGCCGCGUGAGUGAAGAAGUAUUUCGGUAUGUAAAGCUCUAUCAGCAGGGAAGAUAAUGACGGUACCUGAGUAAGAAGCCCCGGCUAACUACGUGCCAGCAGCCGCGGUAAUACGUAGGGGGCAAGCGUUAUCCGGAUUUACUGGGUGUAAGGGGAGCGUAGACGGCAUGGCAAGUCUGAAGUGAAAGCCCGGGGCUCAACCGCGGGACUGCUUUGGAAACUGUUAAGCUGGAGUGCAGGAGAGGUAAGUGGAAUUCCUAGUGUAGCGGUGAAAUGCGUAGAUAUUAGGAGGAACACCAGUGGCGAAGGCGGCUUACUGGACUGUAACUGACGUUGAGGCUCGAAAGCGUGGGGAGCAAACAGGAUUAGAUACCCGCGUA